AUUGAACGCUGGCGGCAUGCCUUACACAUGCAAGUCGAACGGUAACAGGGAGCUUGCUCCGCUGACGAGUGGCGAACGGGUGAGUAAUGUAUCGGAACGUACCAUUCAGUGGGGGAUAACGUAGCGAAAGUUACGCUAAUACCGCAUAUUCUGUGAGCAGGAAAGCAGGGGAUCGCAAGACCUUGCGCUGAUUGAGCGGCCGAUAUCAGAUUAGCUAGUUGGUGAGGUAAAGGCUCACCAAGGCGACGAUCUGUAGCGGGUCUGAGAGGAUGAUCCGCCACACUGGAACUGAGACACGGUCCAGACUCCUACGGGAGGCAGCAGUGGGGAAUUUUGGACAAUGGGGGCAACCCUGAUCCAGCCAUGCCGCGUGAGUGAAGAAGGCCUUCGGGUUGUAAAGCUCUUUCGGCCGGGAAAAAUCGCAUCAGUUAAUACCUGGUGUGGAUGAUGGUACCGGAAUAAGAAGACGACCGGCUAACU
Molecule: ribosomal RNA, 480 nt
Filed under: uncultured bacterium
Lineage: Bacteria
Description: bacterial SSU rRNA
Rfam family: Bacterial small subunit ribosomal RNA
Source: RNAcentral